Long non-coding RNA from Camelus dromedarius (Arabian camel), 588 nucleotides. RefSeq lists it as uncharacterized. Lineage: Eukaryota; Metazoa; Chordata; Mammalia; Artiodactyla; Camelidae. The transcript is spliced from 3 exons. The record is from RefSeq and is a predicted model, not a curated record.
UCUUAUUGCUUCCUUGUUAUGGACGUACUUAUCUUUCAGAUGUCACCUCCUCCAGGAGUUGUCCAGGAUCUCUCAGGCAGAAGUCUUCGAGGUUCCAGAGCCCCUGGCCUAACAUCGCACUAUCCAAAUGUUCUUAAUGUCAGUGCGUCAGAGUCACCUGAAGAUCCUGUCUGGACAGCUGCUAGUGUGUGCACCUCUCUCGGUGGGGACAGUAGGGCUGUUGGUUGACAAACAUUAAUUAAGCGCUUGUUGGGAACAUCAUCAUCAUCGUCUUCAUCCUCAGUACUCUUGCAUUCACUAUGCUCCCUGCAGUGUCGUAACUUAAUUCAUCAGUAGCCUCGUAAGGAUUGGCCAGAGGGAGAUCAGAUUUGUGGAAUUUGUUUCAAAUCCUUAAUCCUGUCCUUUUUUUUUUUUUAACUUUUGAAAGAAAGACCUUCUCAUCCUUUGAUGUCAGAAAGGUCCCCGCUGACCUCUAAAACAAUAACUGCCCCCUCACCUAGAACAUAGUAUCUCCUUUAACCAUCUUUUUUGAGCCUGUUGAGCAGGAAAAAAAUUUUUCUCUAUCCUCUUAUGUUCAGUCUCAAGAGC